GCGGACGGGUGAGUAACACGUGAGUAACCUGCCUUAGACAUUGGGAUAGCCUCGGGAAACCGGGAUUAAUACCAAAUAAAAUCAUAAUGACACAUGUCAUAACGAUCAAAACUCCGGUGGUCUAAGAUGGACUCGCGUCCCAUUAGCUAGUUGGUAGAGUAAAAGCCUACCAAGGCGACGAUGGGUAGCCGGCCUGAGAGGGUGAACGGCCACACUGGAACUGAGACACGGUCCAG
RNAcentral lists this ribosomal RNA (236 nucleotides) under uncultured Eubacteriales bacterium. RNAcentral describes it as "uncultured Clostridiales bacterium partial 16S ribosomal RNA". It matches the Rfam family "Bacterial small subunit ribosomal RNA", at positions 98 to 334 of the family's 1533-position model. Lineage: Bacteria; Bacillati; Bacillota; Clostridia; Eubacteriales. The record is from RNAcentral.